This 305-nucleotide ribosomal RNA is filed under the name uncultured bacterium. RNAcentral describes it as "bacterial SSU rRNA". It matches the Rfam family "Bacterial small subunit ribosomal RNA", at positions 337 to 635 of the family's 1533-position model. The record is from RNAcentral.
UCCUACGGGGGGCAGCAGUAGGGAAUUUUCGUCAAUGGGCGCAAGCCUGAACGAGCAAUGCCGCGUGAACGAGGAAGGUCUUCGGAUCGUAAAGUUCUGUUGAAGGGGAAAAAGAGCGGAGAGAGGAAAUGGUCUCCGAUUGAUAUUACCCUUCGAGGAAGUCACGGCUAACUACGUGCCAGCAGCCGCGGCAAUACGUAGGUGGCGAGCGUUAUCCGGAAUGAUUGGGCGUAAAGGGUGCGUAGGCGGCCUGCUAAGUCUGGAGUGAAAGGUACCGGCUCAACCGGUACAGGCUCUGGAAACUG